RNAcentral lists this microRNA (21 nucleotides) under Canis lupus familiaris (dog). RNAcentral describes it as "Cfa-Novel-7_3p (mature (co-guide))". Lineage: Eukaryota; Metazoa; Chordata; Mammalia; Carnivora; Canidae. The record is from RNAcentral.
AGCUUCCUGUGUCUCCCCUAG